RNAcentral lists this ribosomal RNA (441 nucleotides) under uncultured bacterium. RNAcentral describes it as "partial 16S ribosomal RNA". It matches the Rfam family "Bacterial small subunit ribosomal RNA", at positions 338 to 795 of the family's 1533-position model. The record is from RNAcentral.
CCUACGGGCGGCAGCAGUGGGGAAUAUUGGGCAAUGGGCGCAAGCCUGACCCAGCGACGCCGCGUGAGGGAAGACGGUCUUCGGAUUGUAAACCUCUUUCAGCAGGGAAGACAAAAGGACGGUACCUGCAGAAGAAGCCACGGCUAACUACGUGCCAGCAGCCGCGGUAAUACGUAGGUGGCAAGCGUUAUCCGGAAUUACUGGGUGUAAAGGGUGCGCAGGCGGAAUGUCAAGUCAGCGGUAAAAUUUCGGGGCUCAACCCCGUCGUGCCGUUGAAACUGGCGUUCUUGAGUGAGCGAGAGGUAUGCGGAAUGCGUGGUGUAGCGGUGAAAUGCAUAGAUAUCACGCAGAACUCCGAUUGCGAAGGCAGCAUACCGGCGCUCAACUGACGCUCAUGCACGAAAGCGUGGGUAUCGAACAGGAUUAGAUACCCCUGUAGUC